GAGAGAGCACAGCUCUUCAAGAAUUUUUUCUAACAGGAUUUCUGAUUUUAGUCAGAAAAUCCAUG
Small nuclear RNA from Mus spicilegus (steppe mouse), 65 nucleotides. Its record names the gene U7. It matches the Rfam family "U7 small nuclear RNA". From Rfam's summary of the family: Animal histone pre-mRNAs are spliced by a different mechanism than nuclear pre-mRNAs and self-splicing introns. NCBI's taxonomy places the organism in Eukaryota, Metazoa, Chordata, Mammalia, Rodentia, Muridae. The record is from Ensembl.